AUGUGACCCCAACCCCGCCUCCCUCCGCCCCAUGAUGUCAGAAAAAACACGACAGGGAAAAUUCACCGCAGCCAAGAAAAAGUUAAAAGAAUAUUGGCAGAGGAAGAGCCCUGUGUUCCAGUAGGAGCUAACAGGAAAAGAAAAUCAAUGGCAGUAGCCCUGACACAGCCGCUUCUGGUGGUUACCGCUCACCUGGGAUGUGAUCAGCAACAGGUGUCUAUGGGGAGGGGCCUGUGUCAUCUAUUACCCUGAAAGAUCUGCAAAGCCAGUACCAAGAACUAGCAGGAGCCCCGCACUCAAAGCUCUGCAGUUAUCAGUCAACUCAUUGGAAACAUCAAUUCACUGGGAAGAGUUCACACAUUGAAGGAGGAGAAGAAGCAUGAGAUAUAUCGGGUACAGAAGCUUGGGAGGAGCUUGUUCAAACUCAAACACCAGAGGGCUGAAUCCUGGGCCCCAGAUCCACCAGCGGGGCCCUCUGAGGUGGAGCAGCUACAAGAUGAGACCAAACACCUAAGGAAGGAGCUGGAGAGCCUGGGAAGACAGCUCCAGGCCGAGGUGGAAAACAAUCAGAUGUUGAAUCUCCUGAAUAGGAGACAGGAGGAGAGGCUGCGUGAGCAGGAGGAGAGGAUACGUGAGCAGGAGGAGAAGCUACAUGAGCAGGAGGAGAGGCUAUCUGGGCAGGAGAAGAGGAUACAUGAGCAGGAGGAGAGGCUAUGGGAGCAGGAGUGGCUGCCAGAGCAGGAGAGGCUGCUGGAGGAGGUGAAGAAGUUGGAACGGGAGAGACGGGAGGAGGAGGAGGAGAAGCUGCUAGAGCAUGAGAGGCUGCUGAACCAGGUAGAGAAGCUGCUGGAAGAGGAGAGGCUGCGGGAGCAGGAUGAGAGGCUGCGGGAGGAGGAGAGGCUGCCAGAGCAGGAGAGGCUGUUGGAGCAGGUGGAGAAGCUAUUGGAACAGGAGAGGUGGCAGGAGGAACAGGAGAGGCUGCUGGACCAGGGGAGGCUGCUGGACCAGGUGGAGGAACUGUUGGAACAGGAGAGGUUGUGGGAGCAGGAUGAGAGACUGCGGGAGCAGGAGAGGCUGCUGGAGCAGGUGGAGAAGCUUUUGGAACGGGAGAGGCGACAGGAGGAGCAGAAGAGGCUGCUGGAGGAGGAGCAACUGCUGGACCAAGUGGAGGAGCUGCUGGAACAGGAGAGGCUGCGGGAGCAGGAUCAGAGGCUGUGGGAGCAGGAGACACUGCGGGAGCUGGAGAGGCUGCGGGAGCUGGAGAGGAUGCUGGAGCUGGGGUGGGAAGCCCUCUAUGAGCAGCAGGCGUAGCCACACAGCAGCUUGAGGAGCUGGUGGAACAAUGAGAACAAGAGUGCACUGCAGUGGGAGCAGCAAGUAAAGGAGCUGAAGAAGCUGGGUGGAGCCGAAGAGCCAAGAGGCUCAGAGUCUGCAGCAGUAGGGAGACCAGUACCUGUGAGCCCCAAACCCCCAGGAGCCUGGGUGUGCUGACAAGCAGGGUGGACUCCCCAGGAGCACGGAGGCUUGGGCAGCAACCCCUGCAUGCCAUUCUUUCCAGGCUGCCAAGAACAGGGAGAUAAACCAUCACCAUCAUCUAAAAGCUGGUCAAGAAAAAUAAAAAGAAAAAAACUUAAGGGGUUAAUCUCCUACACAAUUCAUUUACUUCAUUUGAAUGUUAGAGCCACUCACGUUUAUUUGUGUUUUUCUAAUUUAUAGUUUAAAUUUAUUUGUAAAAAAUUAAAGGAGAGUGGGUCUUUCCCUCAUGUUCACUCUGACAUCCCUUAGCAUCUUUUUUUUAUGUGAUAACUGUAGGUCAUUAGCAUGCAUAUCGAGUUUGCCCUUAGGUGGUGGGAGUUCAAACACACAAAGACCCACUAUUUGCACAAAAUUGUUCUUGCUGGUUUGGAAUAGGCUGCCAUUUUUUUUUAAUGUUAUUGCAGCAUGUAUAUUUAUUAUGAAAUUCAGAUAAAAUGUGCUUAUGUUCUGCUACUAUGUUUGAUCGACUCCUAAUCACAGUGAGCUCUUCAUUAGUUCAAUAUGUGGUUUGCCCUCAAGUGCGCUGUUUAUUAGUUUGUAAUGUGCCACUGUGAGUACUGACAUUUACAGUUGUUUAGAGAUGGAGCAGUGGAAACAGCCUUUCCCCCUUUUUCUGUGUAUUGGGGAUGGGCGUAAUAACAGUUUGGGGAGCUUUUUAAAUCUCCCAAAAGAGGAAAGUGGCCUGCUCUGGCAGGUGUGUGCAGGAUAGAAUACGUUUCAUUUGUUCUGGUACCAAGAAUGAGCGUGGUACUAUGGUAGUUCUCUUAGGAUUUGUAUGUGCUCUGGGCUCAUGAAGAUAUUACAUCAUGAGCUGGGGCAGUUGCAUUCUUUUUUGAUGGCCUAAAAAGGGGUUAUUUCUGGGGAAUGAAAGGCUCCCAUCAUUGACUGUGGAUGUGGAAAACCUUUCCUAGCUUAGAGCAUUUGUACCUAUAAUACAUUUUAAAGUCAGAGUUCAUGUUCCCUGUUUUAAUCACAUGACUACAUGUCCCAGUACACAAAAGGGCCCUGGUUGGCAUUCUUCUCAAUGUAUUUAGUAAAGGUAAGAAAUCCUUUGAGAGUUUAGAUGUCCCUGAAACAAGCAUAUAGGCUCUAGUCAAGAAUGAAUUCGAGUGAAGGAAAGCCGUGUGACACCUGGCAUUCCUCUCUGUUCAUGGAGCUUCUUUGAGGCUAGAAGAUUGAUUUUACCAUCUAAAACUCUCUGAUUAAUACCUAGUCUUCAACCACAUUGGCUACUUUGACAUAGGAAUUUACUUCUUUUCCUUGAAUGGAAAACACUUUAAAAAUAAUAACAAACGUUAUUAUAAAUGAAUAUAUGCAAGAGUACUUAGUUGAAACGAAAAGGAGUUUUAGUAGACAGUAUUAUACUACAUUUGAAAAUCAAGUUUAUGCGACUUAAAAUGUUUACAAAGUGCAGUGCAAUCUACUGUUUGUGAGUGUCAAAGUGUUAUAAGGAAAGUGUCUAUACAAUCACAGAGUCAUAUUUCCCCACAGAGUUCUUUACAAAGAGUGAAAUAUGUUCUUAUACCUUUCAGUUUCAGUUAGAGGCAUACUUUGUGCAAUAUUUAUGUGAAUGUGCCUAUACAUUAUGAAUUAUUUCAGUCAUAUGUUGCCUAAAUCAUAACUUGAUGAUGCUUGGGAAAGAAUCAACAGUUAAAACCUCAUGAAGUUCUGAUGUCUGUGUUCCAAAAUACAUCACAGUCACGUUAUUAAGAUGUAGGGAGAAAGGUAUGUGCGCUCCCUGGGGUGGGCAUUUCUGAUUACCUCCAUCUGGCAUCCUCAUGUUACUUUUAGAAAUAUGACUUUAAUAGGAAAGCAAUAUAAUUUUACAGAUAAAGUAACAGAUUUGCCUGAAUUCACAGAAAAAAAGUGCAAAUAUUGGGUCCUCGUGACUUCAACUGGCUCUUCCAAAUUGUAUGAAUUUAUUAAUGUAUUAGAUAAACCCAGUUUCAGAAUUAUAAAGAAAAAAUGUUAGACCACAUAAUGUGGCUAAUUAACAGUGGUACGAUUUCUAGCCCAAGCAUUUAAAAUGGACUUAAAGUCCUGUUCUUGCUUUUUCUUUCUGAACUUGCUGCUUUUGCAUUCUUUGAGUUCAGUUUAAAGGCAGUUACUUUAAGUCCAUUUUAAACUCUCAGGCUAGAAAUCGUACCACUGUUAAUUAGCCACAUUAUUUGGUCUAACAUUUUUCCUUUACAAUUCUGAAACUGGGUUUAUCUAACACAUUGAUAAAUUAUUUCAAAGGUAUUUUUAUAGUUCAAAUCACUUCACUUUUACCCUGACAUAUAUAAAUGACUAGGAAUGACCUUCAGAUCGUGUUUAGCAUCUGUAACCAAUCUGACAAUAAUGCGUUCAUCAGGUACCUAUGGAUUAAAUCAUAUACUGGCAUAUUUAAGCUGAAUGUCAGUCUGGAAAUAAAUUUACCAUAUUAACUGAAA
Molecule: RNA transcript, 3968 nt
Organism: Rhinopithecus roxellana (golden snub-nosed monkey)
Lineage: Eukaryota; Metazoa; Chordata; Mammalia; Primates; Cercopithecidae
Gene name: golgin subfamily A member 6-like protein 10
Exons: 10
Source: RefSeq, a predicted model, not a curated record